This is a non-coding RNA of Podarcis lilfordi (Lilford's wall lizard), 2941 nucleotides long. NCBI's taxonomy places the organism in Eukaryota, Metazoa, Chordata, Lepidosauria, Squamata, Lacertidae. The record is from the annotation of a GenBank genome assembly.
GUUGGGGACAUGAAAGCAGAAAAAUUCUUCCAGGUGAUCAUAACUGUUCUCCUGGCAUGCCGCAAACAACUCUGCUUAUCUAAGUAAGCACAGGAGUUUUAGAAUAAUCAUCCUAGGUAACUCUUCUGGGCCUGGGAUGCUGCCAAGGCUUGGAAGGUGUCUCUCCUUCCCCUGGGAAAGAGUUUUCUCCCAUCAGUUGAAAAAUAUGGAUCCCCCCACCUUUAAAAAUAAUAAUAAUAUUCUAUUGAAUUUUCUGUCUCUGUAACCUUUCUGGUAUCCUAUCUGUUUUCAUGUUCGAUCGUCGUGUGCCAUAGAGAUUUGAAAGCUAUCUGCAUCUUAAGAAAUAAAAAUAAAACGAAGAUGAGUUGCAAAUUAAAUGCAAGCAAAUCCUCAGGGCUCAAAGAGUUGCUUUCGUGGUUGAAUGUGAUACUUCGCCUCCAACAUGUUUUGGAAACUUUUCUCUUUCUUCUCCUGCCUUUCAGUGGAUUCCUGUAAUAUUGGGAAUUUUACAUGAAGGAGCUGAAUGUCUGAAAUAACAUUCCAGGUGUUAGGGCAGCAGUGCUGGGAUCGCCGUAAGGAAUUCUGUUCUGAACAUGAAGAAAUAGUAAGAGAAUCUGAUAAAAUUACUUUUAGCAAUGUAGAAAAUUAGUAUUCAACUAAUGGGGCUUUAUUUGUGAUUCUAAUGGUGCCCAUUUCCACGGAAAGCAUCAACCUCACCCAUGUGGUUUCAUCACUUGCAUGCAUCUCUCAGCUGUGUGGGAGCACACCAUGGCAAAGUAGCUUCCAAUCUGCAAUCCUUAGUAUACUUCCUGAGAGCAAGGGCUGGGGGAAUCUCCAGAACAGAUUUGGGAGGGUGCAUGUGGGGCAGAGGUGCCAUCUGACACCCAUGAAAGGGGAGCAGGAAAAAACUUAAAUAGACCGGAAGCAACUGUACUUCAUCCAGCAGAGCUUUUACAGGUGCUGAAGGCAAAAGAGCACAAAUGGUCACAGAUCCAAUACAUUCAGGAUUGGCACUGUCCAUAAGAAAUCCAGUUGCAGCACUUACCAUAAAACUUACAAAGCUUAUAAUAAGUCUAAAACAGGCUUCCUCAACCUCGGCCCUCCAGAUGUUUUGAGACUACAAUUCCCAUCAUCCCUGAUCACUGGCCCUGCUAGAUAGGGAUCAUGGGAGUUGUAGGCCAAAAACAUCUGGAGGAGUGAGGUUGAGGAAGCCUGGUCUAAAACUUAACACUACAGCAUGCAGAAACAGAUCACCAGAACAAAGGAGACAGAAAAGAGAAAGCAAGUGAGACCUCCUGGUCUUACUAUUAUAGUCAGCACAACCUUGGCAGAAAGAUAACAGAACCAGUUUAAACCAGCUGUACUCGGCUUCCCAGAGAAAUAACCCAAACAGAAACCUCCUUUCACACAGAGAAGCUUCUUGAACCUUCUUGUAGUAAACAGAACAGGAAGGAUCUCUACACAUCAGGUCAAUACUUUCUGUACUAAGAAAUGACAACUGACACCAACUUCUCGAAAACAUUGCAGGGGCCCAAGACAAUGCCCUGACGUCAUGUGUGUGAUGUCGCACAGAGCCAGGGGGUGGAGCCAAGUGUGGUGGCAGCAUGGCUACAGCAACUGGUGUCCCCCAUCCUCCCCACCCCUCUGCAGCACCAGGGAAAGGGGGGAGCUGCCCCCACUGUGCCUCCAGAUUCUACUCCAGAGAGCCAGUGUGGUGUAGUGGUUAAGAGCAGUGGACUCGUAAUCUGGUGAACCGGGUUUGUGUCUCCACUCCUCCACAUGCAGCUGCCGGGUGACCUUGGGCUAGUCCCACUUCUUUGAAGUCUCUCAGCCUCACUCACCUCACAGAGUGUUUGUUGUGGGGGAGGAAAGGAAAGGAGAUUGUUAGACGCUUUGAGACUCCUUCGGGUAGUGAUAAAGCGGGAUAUCAAAUCCAAACUCCUCCCCCUCCUCUUCUUCCUCUGGCUGGUUCAAGUCCCCCUACCUGGUGACAUUCUGCGCUCCACAGAAGGGGCAAGGGAGAGAUCUGCCAUAUCUGGUUUUUCCCCUCUGACUUUUAGAGUUACAAAGAGACGCCCUCCCUGCUUCAUCCCUGGGUGCCCACCUUCCAGUCCCUCAUCUGCUCCUCCUGUUUGCAUUUCAGGCUGCCAAAUCAUGUCAGAUCCUGACAAAGCUGAGGGGGCCAUGGUAGGACAGGAGAUAUGGGUCCCCAGCACAAAGGACCUGGGCCUCUGGCCUCCUGUGCCUCCCCUUAAAUAUACCUAUAAAAUCAACUACCUGAAAGCUUUUCUCCUUUAAGUUUACGCUUUAAUUAUGGGGCAAAUGUCCAAGGCUGUGUUAUGAAAAGACUCAUGGCAUAAUCACAUUUACUCAGACAUAAAUCCCACUGAAUUUAAUGGGGUUUACUCCCAAGUAAGUAAGUACAGUGGUACCUUGGGUUAAGAACUUAAUUCGUUCUGGAGGUCCAUUCUUAACCUCCCGCUGCUCCCAUGCGAUUUCUGUUCUCAUCCUGAAGCAAAGUUCUUAACCCGAGGUACUAUUUCUUGGUUAGCAGAGUAUGUAAUCUGAAGUGUCUGGAACCUGAAGAGUCUGUAACCCGAGGUACCACUGUAUAAGAUUACAGCCAUAGCUUGCUUAUCUUUGUCUCUAAAAACACUCCUGCUGCUAUCUUUUCCUUUUCUGGUUACGUUCUCAGGAGAAGCCAACAUGUUGCCCUCCGAAUGUUGUUGAAUCACGACUCCGAUCAUCUCUAACCACUGGCCAUGCUGUCUAGAGAUGGCAAGAUCUGGGAGUUAACAAUAUCUGGGAGAUAUUUUUCCCUCCUUCCUCUUUCAGCAUGUUGCUGGAAAAGGAGAGGAGCGGCAGUUGAACAAUUUUGGAGCCCAGCCUGUAGUGUAACAUAACCGCUGUGGUAUAUAUAAUAAACAAGAUUCAAAUAGCA